AAAUCGGUCCUUUUCAGGACCAACAAAUAUUAAUCACGUGGGGAAC
Non-coding RNA from Habropoda laboriosa, 46 nucleotides. Lineage: Eukaryota; Metazoa; Arthropoda; Insecta; Hymenoptera; Apidae. The record is from Rfam.